This 332-nucleotide long non-coding RNA is filed under the name Olea europaea subsp. europaea. Lineage: Eukaryota; Viridiplantae; Streptophyta; Magnoliopsida; Lamiales; Oleaceae. The record is from RNAcentral.
CUCCAGUAAUGAAAAUACCGUCGAACUAUUUGGUGAGGAGACGAUCCUUCAUGAUCUCCGACAAGGCGAAUCUUCUGUUACCCAAUACUAUAAUAAUCUAACUCGUUAUUGGCAGCAGUUAGAUAUGUUUGAAAAGCACACUUGGGAAAGUCCGAAUGAUGGAAUUUAGAAUAGAUGGAUCAUUGAGAAAAAAUGGGUAUUCAAGUUUCUAAUGGGAAACAAAGAUUUGGAUGAGGUACAUGGAAGGAUUUUGGGCACAAAGCCUCUACCAAGUCUAAGAGAAGCCUUCUUGGAGGUAAGAAGAGAAGAAAGCCGAAAAAAGGUGAUGUUGG